AAUGUAGUCCGCAUGGCGCCCAGCGGGAAGGCGGUGCCUUGCGGCGGAGGCCGGGAGCACGUGGGUUGGGGAUCAGCCGAGCCCAGGAAGCCUUAGGCCUAUUGCGGCCAAGUUCGACCGGCGAGAGGCGCUGCGGACAGCUUCCUAAGAGGACAUCUCUCUGGCCCAGACUGUCCUGACUGCCAGACCCAGCCGCUGCCAGCCUCCUUGCCUUCUGAAACUGUCACGGGCACGUCAAGUUGAACAGACUCAUCGCACUCCUUAAGUUUGCAAGGCACCGAGCUGAGGCUUUCAAGGUCCGACCCGGCUCUAGCGGCCCCAGCCCCUCCGCUAGACCCACCGCUUCCCCUCCGCUGCCGCCUGGGGCUUGGAGGACAGACACACCUGCAAACACCGCUGCUCAGCCCGGCACAGCGAGGGCAGCGUGGUAGGAGGGGGUGCCAGAGGCUGAAGAAGAGGAGGGUCCCGGAGGAGGAAGGUUUGCACGGAGGUUUGAGGAAGACUGUGCCUCUUAACUUCUUCCAAGCCUUAGAGAUGGAGGCUUUCCAACCACAGUCCCAUUCCUUCAACCCCUCCUUGCCCAGCGGCUUCUCCGGGCCCUUAGGCCCUUGGCACCCCAAGGUCAAGCGAUUGCCAGGAAGCUGUGAUGACUAAGUCUCUCAAAGAAUGAAACAGGACUGAAUGAAUAAAGGAAUGAUGAAAGCCAGCAGCUUCAUCACAGUCUGGACACAGCUGACUGCUCUGUUGCAUCCGACGGCAUCCGGCUCAUCCUAGGAUGUUCACGGCCACUGUUUACUGGCGUGAAGAACUUACAGCUUUUGUCUGGUCCUUGUCUGAUCCAAGCAGCCUCCUCCAACCUGCCAGGUCUUUUCAGUUUGAAACUUGGGCAAGAUCCCCUAUAUUCCUCUUCUCUGAACACCCCCUUCAACUUUCUGUGCUAACCACGAACCUGGCUGCCCCUAAGGACAGCGUCCCCUAGACACGCUUUUCUCCCCCCGCAUCCACACCCCACGGUGCUUGGAGGUGGCGGAGUCUUCCCCAUUCGUUGCUGCAUCUGCUCAACUGUCCCUGUGACUUCCCUCGAACCUCUGGCCCCUUUGGCUCCUGGAAUUAUUCUCAACUGUCAGCAAGCUGCCCCUCUUUGGUGCAGACCCCUGGGUGAUUCACCCUUAUUCCUUACAGAUCUAUUUUUUUAAAUUUACUUAUUU
Long non-coding RNA from Capra hircus (goat), 1208 nucleotides. RefSeq lists it as uncharacterized. NCBI's taxonomy places the organism in Eukaryota, Metazoa, Chordata, Mammalia, Artiodactyla, Bovidae. The record is from RefSeq and is a predicted model, not a curated record. The transcript has 5 exons.